Molecule: transfer RNA, 66 nt
Filed under: Monognathus jesperseni
Lineage: Eukaryota; Metazoa; Chordata; Actinopteri; Anguilliformes; Monognathidae
Description: tRNA-Cys
Source: RNAcentral
GGUUUUGUAGUGUUCAACACAUUAGAUUGCAAGUCUUAAAGCGCGGGGUAACACCAGCCAAAAUCU